UACGUAGGGUGCAAGCGUUAAUCGGAAUUACUGGGCGUAAAGCGUGCGCAGGCGGUUUUGUAAGUCUGAUGUGAAAUCCCCGGGCUCAACCUGGGAAUUGCAUUGGAGACUGCAAGGCUAGAAUCUGGCAGAGGGGGGUAGAAUUCCACGUGUAGCAGUGAAAUGCGUAGAGAUGUGGAGGAACACCAAUGGCGAAGGCAGCCCUCUGGGUCAAGAUUGACGCUCAGGCACGAAAGCGUGGGGAGCAAACAGG
RNAcentral lists this ribosomal RNA (253 nucleotides) under uncultured bacterium. Its description in RNAcentral is "partial 16S ribosomal RNA". It matches the Rfam family "Bacterial small subunit ribosomal RNA", at positions 524 to 776 of the family's 1533-position model. The record is from RNAcentral.